AGAGUUUGAUCCUGGCUCAGAACGAACGCUUGCGGCGCGCCUAAUACAUGCAAGUCGAACGAGGUAGCAAUACCAAGUGGCGCACGGGUGAGUAACGCGUGGAUAAUCUACCCUUCAGUGGGGAAUAACCAUCCGAAAGGAUGGCUAAUACCGCAUGAGGCCACAGUUCCUGCGGGAACAGAGGUUAAAGAUUUAUCGCU
Molecule: ribosomal RNA, 200 nt
Filed under: uncultured bacterium
Lineage: Bacteria
Description: partial 16S ribosomal RNA
Rfam family: Bacterial small subunit ribosomal RNA
Source: RNAcentral